GCGACGGUGGUGCAACGGUUAGCAUACCUCCCGGAAAGGCUGAGAUCUGGGUUGAAAUCCCGGCGGACGCA
This is a non-coding RNA of Parelaphostrongylus tenuis, 71 nucleotides long. The record is from the annotation of a GenBank genome assembly. NCBI's taxonomy places the organism in Eukaryota, Metazoa, Nematoda, Chromadorea, Rhabditida, Metastrongylidae.